This 236-nucleotide ribosomal RNA is filed under the name uncultured organism. RNAcentral's name for it is "partial 16S ribosomal RNA". It matches the Rfam family "Bacterial small subunit ribosomal RNA", at positions 355 to 607 of the family's 1533-position model. The record is from RNAcentral.
UAACGAAUCUUCCGCAAUGGGCGAAAGCGUGACGGGGCAAUGCCGCGUGCAGGAUGAAGCCCUUCGGGUUGUAAACUGCUUUUAGGGGGGAGGAAUGAAAUGCCCAUCCCCAAAGGACACCACCGCCAACUCCCGGCCCGCCGCCCCGGGAAAACCGAGGGUGCGAGCCUUCAUCCGAACCACUUGGUUUAAAGGCGUCGGAGGCGGGUGGUUCGGCGCUUUGGUAAAUGCCACGG